UUUUCAUUUCAGUUGAUUUUAGUAAAGUGAUUAAUAUUAGCUGAUUUUUUUAACAAAUACUUUAGUGUGAAAAUAUAUAUUUAUUAAUUAAUAAUUCACUCAUAAAAGUAUUCAAAAAGGAAGGAAAUAAGCUUUCGUUAAUAUGAAUAUACCGAAAAAAACUCUGGUCAAAGAUGCACACAUCGUGAAAAUUGCUGUGGAGUUGGAGAAUUAUGUGCCGCAACUAAUAUGUUUGGAUCAGCGACAACCUUUAACGGGUAAAAUUCAAGAGAUCUGCAGUUAUUGGGAUAUUGCUGAUCCACAAAAUUAUGCACUGGAAUUCUGUGAUGCGAAUAAUCAAAAAUAUGUCACAGAGAAAAAUCGUAAUGAAAUCAAAAACGGUUCAGUAUUACAUUUGUCAUAUUCUCCAUCGAAAACUGCGAAUGAUACACUUGAGUCAUUACGUUCAGGUUCCAUUGUGGAGAAGACGAAAUGUUUAAAGCAACUUGCUACACUUAGCAAGGAUCAUACUUUCGCUAUGGAGUUCAUCAAAGAACAAGGUCUGACUAUUAUCAUUAAUAUGAUAGAGGAUCCUUCACAGAAAGAUGACGACAUACUAAAAUACAGUUUACAAAGCUUCGUCGAGCUAAUGGAGCAUGAUACAAUAUCUUGGGAAAUAUUACAAAGCACAUUCGUACAACGAAACAUUUAUAUUGUUUGUAAUUUUCAACAUUUUCCCAAAGAAUGUACCCAAAGUGCACUCUCCAACUUGGAGAAUAUUGUGCAAAAUAGCAGCAAAUAUGUGCUAGUCGAAAAAGAUGUCACACUACAAGAUUUACUACGUCUACUGCAAGAUGCCAAUUCGGCAACAACACAACAGAAUGCUAUUGCGUUAAUCAAUGCUCUAUUCAUGAAGGCGGACGAAGCACGCAAACGGCAAAUUGCGCAUACCAUUAGUGCAAAGCCUUAUCGUUUGGCGUUGUUAGGCAAUGCUUCGGGACGGCAAAUAGAGAUGACUCAUCAAUUGUAUGUUUUGCAAACACUCACUCUGGGCUUGUUAGAGCAGCGAAUGCGCAUGAAAAUGAACGCACAGGAUCAGGAUGCGCACGAUAAAAUCAAAGAACUACGACGCAUUGCAUUCGAUGAUUAUUCUGGUCAAAUGGGUAUGGGUGAAGAGCAUUUGCGACGCGGUGGUGGCGGAUCAGGUGGUGGCAAUGUAAAUUUUUCGCAGUUUUAUAAGAAAUUGGGUUUCAAAUGCGACAUAAAUCCAGCACAGGAUUUUAUUGAAACCCCUCCAGGUAUUUUGGCAUUAGAUUGUAUGGUAUACUUUGCACGAACUUAUACACAACAGUACACAAAAAUUGUACACGAAAACUCAUGUCGUGCUGACGAACAUGAAUGUCCCUUCGGUCGCACUUCCAUUGAAUUGGUAAAGGUGCUUUGCGAUAUACUACGUAUUGGUGAACCGCCAGCAGAGCAAUCGGCAGAUUUUCAACCAAUGUUCUUUACGCAUGAUCAUCCAUUCGAAGAAUUCUUUUGUAUUUGUAUUAUAACGUUAAAUCGUACGUGGAAGGAUAUGCGCGCCACAGCGGAAGAUUUUCAAAAGGUAUUCAGUGUAGUGCGUGAACAAAUCAUACGCACACUCAAGGAACGCCCGGAAAAUCUAGAAGAGUUUCGUGCCAAAAUUGCUCUACUAACUUAUCAAACGAUUACUAAUUUACGUCAACAAGAACGCAUCUCAAAAGAGGAAUGCGAUUCCACAGCAUCAGCUAUAGUCAAGUUGAAAGAAAAGAUCUCACCACACAUACUCGAUUUAAUUAAACAGCAGCGUCUAUCUUAUUUGGUAGAAGGCACCCGUUUUUCCAAAUACUCCCGCGGCACACGUUCCAAAGAUAAAUUUUGGUAUGCUCGCCUCUCACCCAAUCAUAAGGUUAUACAUUAUGGUGAUUGUGAUGAGAAAACCGUGCCAACUCUCGAAGAACUUACUAACAAAGUGACCGUUAACGAUAUAAAACAAUUGCUCGAGGGCAAAGAAUGUCCGCAUAUGAAAGAAAUGCGUACACGUAAAAAUGCUGGUAAUCUGGCUUUCUCUAUUACGCUCGAUUGCAUGGAGAAUACCACAUUGGAUUUUGUAGCACCAGAUGAGACUACAUUUCAUUAUUGGACAGAUGGUAUAAACGCUUUGCUGGGUCAGGAAAUGACAAGUAAACAAAAGAAGGAAGAUUUCGACACGUUAUUGUCAAUGGAAAUCAAAUUACGUUUACUGGAUACCGAAGGUGUGGACAUUAGCAAAGAUCCACCACCAAUACCUGAAGAUCCAGAAAACUAUGAUUUUUGUUUCGAGAGUUAGGAAGGUGUUUUGCGUGCCUUGCAUUAUUCUAUAAUUAUGUAUUGAUGUUGUGAUGAUAACUCAAAUAAGAAAUUCCGAGGAUCUUUAUUCGAAAAACAUGCCAAAGUAAAGUCCCUUAGUAGCGGGACUUGUAUAAUAUUUUAUACCAAUCUACAAGUAUCUACAACGAAAAACAAGACAUUUGAACAAAGUAUCAAAUUAUUACAUAAAUAAUAGAUAUUUGUAUUUUUUUUAAUAAUAUGCAAUAUUUUUAUUCACGAUUAUGCCACUACAGCUUUCGUGUGAACAACAAACUACAUAUAUUUAUUUUUACAUGUUAUAAGCUAGACAUAGUAUGCGUUUUUUUUUUUUUUU
This 2683-nucleotide unclassified non-coding RNA is filed under the name Bactrocera tryoni. Its description in RNAcentral is "engulfment and cell motility protein 1, transcript variant X1". Lineage: Eukaryota; Metazoa; Arthropoda; Insecta; Diptera; Tephritidae. The record is from RNAcentral.